This 794-nucleotide ribosomal RNA is filed under the name Clonostachys sp. RNAcentral's name for it is "partial large subunit ribosomal RNA". It matches the Rfam family "Eukaryotic large subunit ribosomal RNA", at positions 82 to 912 of the family's 3401-position model. Lineage: Eukaryota; Fungi; Ascomycota; Sordariomycetes; Hypocreales; Bionectriaceae. The record is from RNAcentral.
AGUAACGGCGAGUGAAGCGGCAACAGCUCAAAUUUGAAAUCUGGCGCAAGCCCGAGUUGUAAUUUGUAGAGGAUGUUUCUGGCGACGUGCCUUCCGAGUUCCCUGGAACGGGACGCCAUAGAGGGUGAGAGCCCCGUACGGUUGGAUGCCUAGCCUCUGUGAAACUCCUUCGACGAGUCGAGUAGUUUGGGAAUGCUGCUCUAAAUGGGAGGUAUACGUCUUCUAAAGCUAAAUACCGGCCAGAGACCGAUAGCGCACAAGUAGAGUGAUCGAAAGAUGAAAAGCACUUUGAAAAGAGGGUUAAAAAGUACGUGAAAUUGUUGAAAGGGAAGCGUUCAUGACCAGACUUGGGCAGGUUGAUCAUCCGUGGUUCUCCGCGGUGCACUCUGCCUGCCCAGGCCAGCAUCAGUUCGCCCCGGGGGAUAAAGGCUCUGGGAAUGUGGCUCCUCCGGGAGUGUUAUAGCCCACUGCGUAAUACCCUGGGGUGGACUGAGGUUCGCGCUCUGCAAGGAUGCUGGCGUAAUGGUCAUCAACGACCCGUCUUGAAACACGGACCAAGGAGUCGUCUUCGUAUGCGAGUGUUCGGGUGUCAAACCCCUACGCGUAAUGAAAGUGAACGUAGGAGAGAGCUUCGGCGCAUCUCCGACCGAUCCUGAUGUUCUCGGAUGGAUUUGAGUAAGAGCAUACGGGGCCGGACCCGAAAGAAGGUGAACUAUGCCUGUAUAGGGUGAAGCCAGAGGAAACUCUGGUGGAGGCUCGCAGCGGUUCUGACGUGCAAAUCGAUCGUCAAAUAU